AACUAUGUUUGUUAUUGGUAUGAGUUUUCGUGUGCAUGCACACUUCUUCAGAUACACUGAAGAAGAAGUAUCUGAAGAAGUGUGCAUGCACAUGAAAGCUCAUACCAAUAACAAACUUAGUUGG
This is a non-coding RNA of Podarcis lilfordi (Lilford's wall lizard), 124 nucleotides long. The record is from the annotation of a GenBank genome assembly. Lineage: Eukaryota; Metazoa; Chordata; Lepidosauria; Squamata; Lacertidae.